Molecule: ribosomal RNA, 2376 nt
Filed under: Triticum aestivum (bread wheat)
Lineage: Eukaryota; Viridiplantae; Streptophyta; Magnoliopsida; Poales; Poaceae
Description: partial small subunit ribosomal RNA
Source: RNAcentral
AUGGCCGAGUUCGCUGUUAGCACCGUUCUUGCAAACGUGGGCAAUCUUGCUGUUCAGGGGACAAGUUUUGUAUGCGCGGUCACCUUGGAAGUGGCAGUCCUGAAAGAUGAGCUAAUGCGACUGCAGGCCUACCUCAAAGAGGCCGAGAGCAAACGGAGAUCUGGAAAUGCAAGAGUUGCUGUUCUUCUGAGCCAGAUUAGGGAUGCCGCAUAUGAGGCUGAGAACGCCAUCGAAGCUGCAGAGUACAUGAAGAAAAGAAACAUGAUAAAGAAGGGCUUCAAGGCUGCAGUCUCAAGGUAUGCUCGCUUACCGGGUGAUUUGACUACCCUUCGUAAAGUUGGUGUUAAAAUUCAGCGUGUAAGAAGGAAGCUCAAUGAGAUAUUUCAGAGUGUAGAACGCUUGAAUAUUGACUUGGAUAUUCAAGAUGUGGAUGAGUGUCUAGAAGAUUAUGACCUUGCACACCAAAACUUUGAGGGUGAUUUUGUCAUGGUUGGUUUCGAGAACGAGUACAAAGAAAUAGUCAAUAAGUUAGUUCAGGGGGGAAAUAUGCUUAGUGCUAUCUCCAUAGUUGCUAUGGGUGGUGCAGGAAAAACAACAGUUGCUAGAAAAGUGUAUACUGCAUCCGCAGUCAAACAACACUUUGAGGUGCUUGUUUGGGUGACUGUUUCUGAAAAAUUCAAGGUCAUUGAUUUACUAAAGGAAAUUGUGAAGCAAAUGCCUAGUGAUGUUGGUCUGUCUAUAAAUGAUGAAAUGAAUGAGUAUGAGGUGGGAAAGAAGAUCCAUGAUAUCCUCAUCCAGAAAAGAUACUUGGUAGUUCUCGAUGAUGUGUGGGAAACAGAUACAUGGGAGCAAAUAAAUAGAACAAUUAAGGCCUUUCCAGAUGCGGCUAACUCUAGUAGAGUACUAUUAACUACAAGAAAACAAGAUGUUGCGAAUCACGUUGAAAUGCCAACCCAUGUUCAUUCUUUGAGAUGUUUAGAUGAACAGAAAAGCUGGGAACUUCUUAGUAGCAAAGCUUUACCAUCAUACAAAAGGUCAGACAUACGUGAUCUGGAUAAGUUUGAAAUCUCAGGGAGAAAGCUUACAAAGAAAUGUGAUGGAUUACCGCUUGCACUUGCAGUUUUAGGGGGUUAUCUAUCAAAGAAUCUCAACACACAAGCAUGGUCCGAUGUACUGUUGGGCUGGCCAUCAACCAAAGACACACAGAUGAUGUGGGGCAUAAUAGCUCGCAGUUACAAGGACCUACCGAAUCACUAUUUGAGAUCCUGUUUUCUCUAUCUUGCUGCUUUUCCUGAGGAUUUCAUAAUAUCCGUGUCGGACCUUAUAAAUUUAUGGAUAGCAGAAAGCUUGAUUCCAUAUACACCAAAGCAUAUACUAGAAGAAACAGCACGUAAGUAUGUAACUGAGUUGGCUCAAAGAAGCUUGGUACAAGUUGUUGAAACAAAUGAUAUAUAUGGAUGGAUUGAGAAGAUAAAGAUUCAUGACAUCUUACGUGACUGGUGCAUAGAAGAAGCAACACAAGAUGGUUUUCUUGAUAUCAUCGAUGAGACUACUAGAGGACAAGAUGGUGCGCCUUCAUCUCAUAACCCGAUAUCCUAUCGUUCUUCUUUUCAAAAUUCGAGUGAGCAGAUUCUACAGGCACCACCUAAUCUCCGAGCUUUGUUUGGCUUUGGACUUUUAUCAGUAUCUUUUCCCAAGCUAAGAUUCCUAAGAGUUCUUCAUGUUGAGAAUGCGAGACUGGAGAAUUUCUCGGAAGUAAUUGGUGGGUGCGUUCACCUGCGACACCUCGGAUUGAGAAGAUGUAGAAAUGUGGUGAUUCCUUCUUCAGUCAGGAAACUCCUUUACUUGCAGACUAUAGAUCUGGCAGGGGUCUUUCGACAUGAAUCAGAAGUUUCAAGCUCCCUCUGGGAUAUACCUACUCUAAGGUAUGUAGAUAUUCCUAGAAUUUCUCUGCCCAGGAGUGUGCAAUUUCAAAAAAGCCUACGGGAGCUUCAUAUGUUCGCUUCUAUUUAUGAAAUUGAAAAAGAUCCGAUGCCGAUCCUGGAGAUGCUUCCUUGUCUUGUGAUGCUGGGGUUGAAUGGUUUUAAAGCUGAAACCAUGAGCUUCAAGGCCCAAGGGUUUCCUCGUCUGCAAGAGUUAACACUUGAAAUGUGUUCCAUUAAGUGGAGGAUGGAGGUUGGGGCAAUGCCGAAGCUAUUCCACCUAUCAUUUAAAAGAUGCCCGCAGAUGGACGGAAUCCCCAAGGGAUUAUUGCACCUUCCAUCCCUUAGGUCCGUAUCACUUCGUGAUUUGAGAAAAUACUAUUUGAGUGACAAUACAGUGAAAGGGCUCAAGCAGAAAGGAUGCGAGGUCAAAGAAAGUCGUACCCCGUUCUAA